Molecule: ribosomal RNA, 428 nt
Filed under: Acidobacteriota bacterium
Lineage: Bacteria; Pseudomonadati; Acidobacteriota
Description: Acidobacteria bacterium partial 16S ribosomal RNA
Rfam family: Bacterial small subunit ribosomal RNA
Source: RNAcentral
UGGGGAAUUUUGGACAAUGGGGGAAACCCUGAUCCAGCCAUCCCGCGUGUGCGAUGAAGGCCUUCGGGUUGUAAAGCACUUUUGGCAGGAAAGAAACGUCAUGGGUUAAUACCCGUGAAACUGACGGUACCUGCAGAAUAAGCACCGGCUAACUACGUGCCAGCAGCCGCGGUAAUACGUAGGGUGCAAGCGUUAAUCGGAAUUACUGGGCGUAAAGCGUGCGCAGGCGGUUCGGAAAGAAAGAUGUGAAAUCCCAGAGCUCAACUUUGGAACUGCAUUUUUAACUACCGGGCUAGAGUGUGUCAGAGGGAGGUGGAAUUCCGCGUGUAGCAGUGAAAUGCGUAGAUAUGCGGAGGAACACCGAUGGCGAAGGCAGCCUCCUGGGAUAACACUGACGCUCAUGCACGAAAGCGUGGGGAGCAAACAGG